GGUUAAGCGACUAAGCGUACACGGUGGAUGCCCUGGCAGUCAGAGGCGAUGAAGGACGUGCUAAUCUGCGAUAAGCGUCGGUAAGGUGAUAUGAACCGUUAUAACCGGCGAUUUCCGAAUGGGGAAACCCAGUGUGUUUCGACACACUAUCAUUAACUGAAUCCAUAGGUUAAUGAGGCGAACCGGGGGAACUGAAACAUCUAAGUACCCCGAGGAAAAGAAAUCAACCGAGAUUCCCCCAGUAGCGGCGAGCGAACGGGGAGCAGCCCAGAGCCUGAAUCAGUGUGUGUGUUAGUGGAAGCGUCUGGAAAGGCGCGCGAUACAGGGUGACAGCCCCGUACACAAAAAUGCACAUACUGUGAGCUCGAUGAGUAGGGCGGGACACGUGGUAUCCUGUCUGAAUAUGGGGGGACCAUCCUCCAAGGCUAAAUACUCCUGACUGACCGAUAGUGAACCAGUACCGUGAGGGAAAGGCGAAAAGAACCCCGGCGAGGGGAGUGAAAAAGAACCUGAAACCGUGUACGUACAAGCAGUGGGAGCACGCUUAGGCGUGUGACUGCGUACCUUUUGUAUAAUGGGUCAGCGACUUAUAUUCUGUAGCAAGGUUAACCGAAUAGGGGAGCCGAAGGGAAACCGAGUCUUAACUGGGCGUUAAGUUGCAGGGUAUAGACCCGAAACCCGGUGAUCUAGCCAUGGGCAGGUUGAAGGUUGGGUAACACUAACUGGAGGACCGAACCGACUAAUGUUGAAAAAUUAGCGGAUGACUUGUGGCUGGGGGUGAAAGGCCAAUCAAACCGGGAGAUAGCUGGUUCUCCCCGAAAGCUAUUUAGGUAGCGCCUCGUGAAUUCAUCUCCGGGGGUAGAGCACUGUUUCGGCAAGGGGGUCAUCCCGACUUACCAACCCGAUGCAAACUGCGAAUACCGGAGAAUGUUAUCACGGGAGACACACGGCGGGUGCUAACGUCCGUCGUGAAGAGGGAAACAACCCAGACCGCCAGCUAAGGUCCCAAAGUCAUGGUUAAGUGGGAAACGAUGUGGGAAGGCCCAGACAGCCAGGAUGUUGGCUUAGAAGCAGCCAUCAUUUAAAGAAAGCGUAAUAGCUCACUGGUCGAGUCGGCCUGCGCGGAAGAUGUAACGGGGCUAAACCAUGCACCGAAGCUGCGGCAGCGACGCUUAUGCGUUGUUGGGUAGGGGAGCGUUCUGUAAGCCUGCGAAGGUGUGCUGUGAGGCAUGCUGGAGGUAUCAGAAGUGCGAAUGCUGACAUAAGUAACGAUAAAGCGGGUGAAAAGCCCGCUCGCCGGAAGACCAAGGGUUCCUGUCCAACGUUAAUCGGGGCAGGGUGAGUCGACCCCUAAGGCGAGGCCGAAAGGCGUAGUCGAUGGGAAACAGGUUAAUAUUCCUGUACUUGGUGUUACUGCGAAGGGGGGACGGAGAAGGCUAUGUUGGCCGGGCGACGGUUGUCCCGGUUUAAGCGUGUAGGCUGGUUUUCCAGGCAAAUCCGGAAAAUCAAGGCUGAGGCGUGAUGACGAGGCACUACGGUGCUGAAGCAACAAAUGCCCUGCUUCCAGGAAAAGCCUCUAAGCAUCAGGUAACAUCAAAUCGUACCCCAAACCGACACAGGUGGUCAGGUAGAGAAUACCAAGGCGCUUGAGAGAACUCGGGUGAAGGAACUAGGCAAAAUGGUGCCGUAACUUCGGGAGAAGGCACGCUGAUAUGUAGGUGAAGUCCCUCGCGGAUGGAGCUGAAAUCAGUCGAAGAUACCAGCUGGCUGCAACUGUUUAUUAAAAACACAGCACUGUGCAAACACGAAAGUGGACGUAUACGGUGUGACGCCUGCCCGGUGCCGGAAGGUUAAUUGAUGGGGUUAGCGCAAGCGAAGCUCUUGAUUGAAGCCCCGGUAAACGGCGGCCGUAACUAUAACGGUCCUAAGGUAGCGAAAUUCCUUGUCGGGUAAGUUCCGACCUGCACGAAUGGCGUAAUGAUGGCCAGGCUGUCUCCACCCGAGACUCAGUGAAAUUGAACUCGCUGUGAAGAUGCAGUGUACCCGCGGCAAGACGGAAAGACCCCGUGAACCUUUACUAUAGCUUGACACUGAACAUUGAGCCUUGAUGUGUAGGAUAGGUGGGAGGCUUUGAAGUGUGGACGCCAGUCUGCAUGGAGCCGACCUUGAAAUACCACCCUUUAAUGUUUGAUGUUCUAACGUGGACCCGUAAUCCGGGUUGCGGACAGUGUCUGGUGGGUAGUUUGACUGGGGCGGUCUCCUCCUAAAGAGUAACGGAGGAGCACGAAGGUUGGCUAAUCCUGGUCGGACAUCAGGAGGUUAGUGCAAUGGCAUAAGCCAGCUUGACUGCGAGCGUGACGGCGCGAGCAGGUGCGAAAGCAGGUCAUAGUGAUCCGGUGGUUCUGAAUGGAAGGGCCAUCGCUCAACGGAUAAAAGGUACUCCGGGGAUAACAGGCUGAUACCGCCCAAGAGUUCAUAUCGACGGCGGUGUUUGGCACCUCGAUGUCGGCUCAUCACAUCCUGGGGCUGAAGUAGGUCCCAAGGGUAUGGCUGUUCGCCAUUUAAAGUGGUACGCGAGCUGGGUUUAGAACGUCGUGAGACAGUUCGGUCCCUAUCUGCCGUGGGCGCUGGAGAAUUGAGGGGGGCUGCUCCUAGUACGAGAGGACCGGAGUGGACGCAUCACUGGUGUUCGGGUUGUCAUGCCAAUGGCACUGCCCGGUAGCUAAAUGCGGAAGAGAUAAGUGCUGAAAGCAUCUAAGCACGAAACUUGCCCCGAGAUGAGUUCUCCCUGACUCCUUGAGAGUCCUGAAGGAACGUUGAAGACGACGACGUUGAUAGGCCGGGUGUGUAAGCGCAGCGAUGCGUUGAGCUAACCGGUACUAAUGAACCGUGAGGCUUAACCUU
This 2904-nucleotide ribosomal RNA is filed under the name Escherichia coli. Its description in RNAcentral is "23S ribosomal RNA". It matches the Rfam family "Bacterial large subunit ribosomal RNA". The record is from RNAcentral. Lineage: Bacteria; Pseudomonadati; Pseudomonadota; Gammaproteobacteria; Enterobacterales; Enterobacteriaceae.